AUCACUUCUUGGCUUUUUACUAAGAUGAAGUGUAGUAUCUGUUCUUAUUGGUUAAAUAUCUGAUACAUCUUCAUCUGAGGACAAUGUAUUAAAUGGCUUUUUAGAGCAUGGAGAUAGGCUUGGAGCUUUUUCCAUCUAUACCAAGUUUUGACCUGCUAUUGGUGUAAUUCCAGGAAUGGUGCAAAUCCA
Molecule: small nuclear RNA, 189 nt
Filed under: Castor canadensis (American beaver)
Lineage: Eukaryota; Metazoa; Chordata; Mammalia; Rodentia; Castoridae
Description: U2 spliceosomal RNA (ENSCCNG00000009332.1)
Rfam family: U2 spliceosomal RNA
About the family: U2 is a small nuclear RNA (snRNA) component of the spliceosome (involved in pre-mRNA splicing). Complementary binding between U2 snRNA (in an area lying towards the 5' end but 3' to hairpin I) and the branchpoint sequence (BPS) of the intron results the bulging out of an unpaired adenosine, on the BPS, which initiates a nucleophilic attack at the intronic 5' splice site, thus starting the first of two transesterification reactions that mediate splicing.
Source: Rfam by way of RNAcentral